UAUUUAUGUUUUAUUUACCUAUCGAUCAUAGUUUAUUUCGGCAUAUAUAAACUUAAGAAUGUAUCCAAAGUUAGUUUAUUUAAGAGCGAGAUUUACUGCUUAAAAUCAUCGAAUGAGUGAUUGAGGAAGUGUGAAGGUUGAGUAUUCUGCACUUAUUAGUGGUUGGACUAACCUAAUUUUGUUAUGGUUUUUAAUUUUCUUUCUUUCAAAGAUUUGGGGGCGGAACGCUUCAUAUCAAGAGGAGACACAAGGGGCACCACUAUUGGAGAACACUGGUGGACCGGCUUCUUCUUUAAAGGAGGGGGAUCAAAAUGAUGUGAAUAUGAAGCGCCUGUCUCCUGACAAUGAUAUUGCUAAGUCAAACCUAAUAGAAGAAAUUGACAAUUGGGGUAGGUUAGUGGAGCCUCAAGAUGCAUCACCAAAUUUCAAGAAGCACCAAUCUCAAAACACCCGCCUUUGAGAACACCGGCGACUAAUACAUUAUUUUAGUAUAAGGACACAAAGUUUUAUGUAAGCUAUUAACAUACCUUUUUCCCUGAAGAAAUUCUGAACUUGGGGUAACCUUCUAUCAACUUUUCCACUCUCUUUUUAAGUAUACGAACAUCCUACAUUAUAAUUAGACAAUUAACAAUUUAUGCACAUAAUGUUUUUAUUGUAUUAAAUUUAAUUUAUGUUAUAACAUAUCUAACCUCAUCAUUUAUUACUUGUCGAAAGUGAACAGAGAUGCAGAACUUGUUGUCUUCAACAAUGGCUCCUUUUAUGCCUUUUGUCUUGUCUUUCAGAGCCUUUAGUAUCUAAACAAAAACACAUUACAAAUAUUUAAAAAAAAAUCUCAAGUUAAAGCUAUAAGUGCAGGAAGUGAAGUCAGUAUCUAGCUACCUCUUCAAUCUUUGGAAGAAACUCUUGAGCUGGUCGAAAGUGAACAACUUCAUUCCCCUGUAGAAAAAAGAAAGUCACAAAUAUAGAAAAGAAAAAUCAAAAGAACUUCAAAGAACACUAACUAAUUAGUAACCUUUUCAUCAGUGGUUCUAGCUUAUCACAAAUAUGUUGACAUUUAUUUUAGUGUUGCUUAUCAUAGUUUUUUUUCUCUUUUGAAUUAAUGAGUGGGGAUCAAAUUGAUUUGAAUAUGCAACACCGGCCUCUCGACAAUGAUAUUGCCAAAUCGAACCAUAUAGAAGAACUUGACAAUUCAGGCAGGUUAGCGGAGCCUCAAGGAGCACCAGUUUUCGAGAACACCGGUAGUGUGGCCUCUUUUCAGUUAGCAAUGUACAAGGAAGUCCUCAAAAUCUUCCCAUUGUGAGAAGAUCUGCAAUCUGGGAACCCCAUAUGUGAAAAUAAAUAUAAUAUAUAGUUUUUUUUUUUUGAAAUAAUAUAUAAUUUUUUAUGUAUAUUUUUUAAUUUUUUACAAAGUUUAACUUUUAUGCAGAUUGUAUAUUAAUGUAUUGCUAAAUAAAAAUGUUUCUCGUGUAAUGUA
Molecule: long non-coding RNA, 1474 nt
Organism: Cannabis sativa
Lineage: Eukaryota; Viridiplantae; Streptophyta; Magnoliopsida; Rosales; Cannabaceae
Exons: 3
Source: RefSeq, a predicted model, not a curated record